AGAUAUGAUCACCCUCUCAUGGUGCGCAAUCCUGAUACCUCAACUUCCCCUCGAACCUUUUACAGGAUAUCCCCCUCUAGUUUCCAGCCACCCGUUCAGUUGGAGAUCCAUUUCAAUCCACGUCUUGAUCAUUUGGUUGAGAGGCUCGAGACUCGAGACCCACAAAUACGAUUCUAUCGUCUCUGCGCACCGGCACCACUCGUGUCCAAAACCAGGCCCUCCCCCCC
This 227-nucleotide long non-coding RNA is filed under the name Phoenix dactylifera (date palm). Its description in RNAcentral is "long non-coding RNA (PDAC_LNC000072)". The record is from RNAcentral. Lineage: Eukaryota; Viridiplantae; Streptophyta; Magnoliopsida; Arecales; Arecaceae.